RNAcentral lists this ribosomal RNA (492 nucleotides) under uncultured bacterium. Its description in RNAcentral is "partial 16S ribosomal RNA". It matches the Rfam family "Bacterial small subunit ribosomal RNA", at positions 28 to 507 of the family's 1533-position model. The record is from RNAcentral.
GAUGAACGCUAGCUACAGGCUUGACACAUGCAAGUCGAGGGGAAACGGCAUUGAGUGCUUGCACUCUUUGGACGUCGACCGGCGCACGGGUGAGUAACGCGUAUCCAACCUUCCCAUUACUGUGGGAUAACCUGCCGAAAGGCAGACUAAUACCGCAUAGUCUUCGAUGACGGCAUCAGAUUUGAAGUAAAGAUUUAUCGGUAAUGGAUGGGGAUGCGUCUGAUUAGCUUGUUGGCGGGGUAACGGCCCACCAAGGCUACGAUCAGUAGGGGUUCUGAGAGGAAGGUCCCCCACAUUGGAACUGAGACACGGUCCAAACUCCUACGGGAGGCAGCAGUGAGGAAUAUUGAUCAAUGGACGGAAGUCUGAACCAGCCAAGUAGCGUGCAGGAUGACGGCCCUAUGGGUUGUAAACUGCUUUUGUAUGGGGAUAAAGUUAGGGACGUGUCCCUAUUUGCAGGUACCAUACGAAUAAGGACCGGCUAAUUCCGUG